UUAUCCCUGCCCUGUGCGUGUCUUAAGGUGAUAAACUUGAGCCAACAGCUAAUUAAAAGGGAGCUCGGAGUUUACCCUGACCGUGGUCGGGGUAACAGGGCACCCACCUGGGAAACCGGGUUCAAGGUAUAUCAUCUUACACGGCAGUGGCGGGGAUUUU
This 160-nucleotide non-coding RNA is filed under the name Candidatus Omnitrophota bacterium. RNAcentral describes it as "6S RNA". It matches the Rfam family "6S / SsrS RNA". From Rfam's summary of the family: E. coli 6S RNA was the first non coding RNA to be sequenced, but its function was unknown until recently. It consists of 184 nucleotides that fold into an extended hairpin structure with a large single-stranded internal bulge. The 6S RNA specifically associates with RNA polymerase holoenzyme containing the sigma70 specificity factor. The record is from RNAcentral. Lineage: Bacteria; Pseudomonadati; Candidatus Omnitrophota.